Molecule: long non-coding RNA, 620 nt
Organism: Pipra filicauda (Wire-tailed manakin)
Lineage: Eukaryota; Metazoa; Chordata; Aves; Passeriformes; Pipridae
Exons: 3
Source: RefSeq, a predicted model, not a curated record
CGGAGGAGGCUGGGCAGGAAAGCACAAAACAGGCAGCAACUCAUUUAGCCACCAGUCUCCUCUUCAGAGCCACGUUGCUGCACAAAACAAAACCCAGGCUCUGCAGACCAUCUCCUGCUCUCGCCGAUCGCAGCCUGCGAGGCUCGGCCCUGCUCUAUUAUCCGGCAGGAUGGACUUCCCAUUUCUCCAGCUUUAGCCUCAUGCGAGGCUGCUCUCCUCCUUCAAAAACUUCCAGAAACACGGCUUGCAGCUCCGACACCCCAGAUGGGCAUGUCCAGGGAUGGAGGGGAAGAUGAACAGAAAUGGCAUCCCCACAGUCCACAGCAAAGACCCUGGGACUGCCGGCGCCUGAUGCCUGCCCAGCACCCACUCCUCUGCAGCAGUGGGACAGAGGGACAGGACCCAUCCCCACGGGCAGAGCCCACUUCGCCCAGCUCUGCCAGCACAUCCCAGCAGAGCACGUGGCCAUGGCAGGGCUGACACAGUCCCUUCCCACUCGGCUCCGCAGGCGCCACCGCACACGGCUCAGCCCUAACGGGAUAACAAGCUCACAAUGAGAUCCUAAUGAAGGAUUAGCGAAAUACAGUUUAAAGAGAUUAAAGCUGGGUGCAGCACUGAAA